RNAcentral lists this long non-coding RNA (7982 nucleotides) under Hordeum vulgare. RNAcentral describes it as "long non-coding RNA (HVUL_LNC010867)". The stretch from base 1098 to 1221 matches the Rfam family "MIR1120/MIR1122 microRNA precursor family". Lineage: Eukaryota; Viridiplantae; Streptophyta; Magnoliopsida; Poales; Poaceae. The record is from RNAcentral.
CGGACAAAAAAGGCCGCUCCCUCCUCUGUAAAGGUGGCGUGAACAAUUUCCCCCCCUCUCUCUCUCUCUCUCUCCGUUCUUUUAGCAGCUGCCGCCGUUGCUUGCCGCUGCCCAGCCGGGCCUCCGGCUCCACGGAUCAGGCAGGGGACCAGACCAGCUUUGCACUGUGGUGCUAGACCUGUAGUAGUAGCUGGGCUAGCGCGGCGGCGGUAAUAAAGACCGGCUGCCACGCUCGCGAGUUGGCAGGGCCGGCGGACCGCGGAGGAGAUCCGUCGGCCGGACUGGCCUGUCAUUGUCAAUUUGUCAUGGCAAGGCGGCACCAAGAGGCUGUGGCCUUCCUUGCAUGCCGGAAGAAAGAAGCUGGGCCUGACGUGCGCCGUAACCGGAAAGGAUCAAAGGAUUGGGGGGCACCGAUCGAUCACUGUAGGGCAGCUCUGUAUCGUUAUCCAGACCAGGCCUACGGACGGGCUACAGUGUGAGCCGAGGGCGUCGCCGGGGGACCAGCCGCACAUGCACGUAGAGGUAGAGGUAGAGGUAGAGAUAGAGGUAGAGCCAUGGCAUGGAGAUGGAGGCAACCCAGAUUACUGCACGGAACAGGGAGCCAAGACACGACACGCAUGGUUUCUUUCUUCUUGAUUAGUAGUAGUACAAAGUCUGGACCACCGGCCACCGCUCACUAGGCUACACUACACCACACAGCUCCCUUUAAAUGGCCGGAAGCCUCCUUGCCGUUUUCGCCCCGCGUCGCCUCUCUGUCUGCGUCUGCGUCUGCAUCUGCUGCCGACGGGUGUGCCGGUCCUUGCACCAGAGCACCACAUCGGCGUUACACUUGUUCUCAAUGCUGGGUUGGUUUAGCUACUGGGAUCACAAAAAUGGACCAUGGCAAUCUGAAUUUACGCUCAAGGAAAAACCCAUACUAGCUCUUCAGGAAACGCGACGGGAAAGAGUAAACCCAAGCAUGUGGGCAGGGCUUUGGAUUUUGGUCCGAGAACAGCGAACCAGAUCACCGGUAACAGUGUACACAAACAAAACAAACGGGCCGCCAAUUUAUCAUCAUUUCUUAAUUUAUACUUACCUACUACUAUCUUCGUUUUUAAAUAUUACUCCCUCCGUCCGGAAAUAUUUGUCCUAGAAAUGUAUAAAAUGGAUGUAUCUAUAACUAAGAUAAGUCUAAAUACAUCUACUUCUAGGACAAGUAUUUUUGGAUGGAGGGAGUAUAAUAAAAGCAUCUCCAACAGCCGUGCUAAACAAGCGCCGCGUCAAAAAUUAGGCCAUUUUAGCGCGCGCACAACCUGACGGGUGGCUCCAGCGGAUGCGCAAUAACCGCACGCGCGCUAUAAGGAGUUGGGUGCGCGGUCGGAUUCGUUAUCUCGCGCGAUGUAUUUGGGGCGCCCGCUUCCGCGCGCGUCACACUCGAGCGCUGGCGCCACACUCUCUCCUCUCCGCCUCCUACGCCCCGCGCCGGCGCCGGCGAACUGCACCCAUGGAAGCACGCGCCGGCACCCCGCUCACCCCACUGUACAGUCGCGACCCCUCCCCCGCCGGCACCCAUGAACUUGGUUGGAUGAACUUGUAGGCAUGAACUUUUAUUCAUCAACUUGUUUGUGUCAAAUUGCACAUGUUCAUUGCAUUUUGAUGAAUGUUUCAAACUCAUUUUGUGUCUAAAAUACCAUAUAUGUGAAAUGUCCGGCGAGUCACGUGUGCUGCAUUUUUUGCGCGCUGCUGGAGUGGCGCGCGCUGUAUUUUAGCGCGGCUGUUGGAGCCGGCGCUGGCGGCCGCGCUAAACCAGCCGAAGCGCGGCUGUUGGAGAUGCUCUAAAGACUGCAUACAAUGUAAAAUGUAUGAAUCUAUACUCUAAAACAUGUCUAUAUACAUCCGUAUGUAGUCUAUAAUGAAACUUCUAAAAAAAUAUAUAUUUAAAAACGGGGGAGUACUAGGCAAAGGGUCCAAGACGGACUCCGUUUCUCUUCUCUCCCGCGGAGCCAUGCACGGACAGCGGUAGCGACAUGAGCGCCACACAUUCUCCUACAUCUCGGACAAGGCGAAGAAAUCCACCCCCAAUGAUCAGGUCGAUCAUCUCGCCGAGCUGCACUGUGCGUCCAUCCUGAUUGGGGUUCAGUUUGAGUGUUUGACCGUAGCUUAGCUCGUGCCCGGCGAUGAUGGAAAUGGGGGGUGACAGACAGGGGAAGCACCAUGUGCCCAUGAUUGUGCUUGUCCAUGCCGGAGAGCUCCUCUGAUCCCAGCACGCGCACGGGGAUCGUGUGCGUCUGCAUUUCAGAUACACGCACACGGUUUGUGCUAUAGCUAGCGUCCCAAGGACUCUGAAUUCUGAUCGACGCGUGUGCUAUUAUCAAUAGAAGUACUGUGCGGUUAGUCGUACACUGGCACGGUAGAUUGUACGUACGUACUACAACACGGGCUAGAUCGCGGCACAUUACAUUCACAGAAAACGUGGUGCAAACAUGGUAGUUGUAAUUCCGUUUCAAAAAGCAUGGUAGUAGUAGUAAUAGAUCAGUUAAGGUGUGUUGUCGAUGGUGAUUUACAUGGUCGGGGCUAAGGUUAGGAUGACGACAUCAACUACGUAUGUUACACGUACGUAAUUCAUUCCCGGGCCGGUGACAAGGAUGUGCAACAAAUUGGACAAGUCGUCAAGUAUUUUCUUUGGCCUUUUGUGGUUACUUCUAGCAAGCUGCUACCACGCCGACGCUGUCCCGAAAGGUCCAAAAAUAACAAUUGGACAGGAUUACCGCUAGCACACCACGUGUUCAUCCUGACUUGUGAGGCGGCUUAAGCUACUUUUGUCAACAAAGUGUGCCACGUUUGCCGAAAGCUGGGAAGAUUUCAUCGCCUUUUUAUAGGAGAUCUUUUAUGGUACCCCGUAAUAAAAUUAGUCCGUCCAUUCGGGGAAAUCCAACGCUAGAGAUUGAUUUGUAUUGCUUCAACGGGCCAGCAGUAUAUGCACUCCAACCCGAGCAAAGUGGAGCAAUAUACGGAGAUUGAGGGCAGUUUGGGAACAUCGUAAUAUUUCAGCCCGUCCACCCGCUGACCUGACCCACGCCUACGCCGCGACGAUUCCGGCCGCUGCCGCCGCACGCCCGAUUUAUCUCCCUCUGCGAGCCCCCUCCUCUUCCUCACGAAGAAGAGCGACUCCCGCAGCUUGGCCCCUUGGCUAAUCGCGAUUUAAUGCUGAAAGCAUUGAUUUUUGUCUUAUCAGAUUCAGAAACUUGAAGUUUGAUCUGCGUGCCUACCCCCAUACAACGUUCUGGAAAUGGUGCUUUAGUUCGUGAAUUUUGAAAGUGUGUGUGGCUCGUUCAGUUUCUACCUUCUACAAUGCAAUCACACAGUCGGGGCACAGACGAUGUGACGCGGAAGCAAGCUCACGGCCAUGAGACACGGCUACCGGAAGGGCAACAACGGAGCACGGCUGGAGGUAGAUGGACGGGGCAAACAAGGGCCGAUUCCCCCGGCGGCGGCAAUGCCUAUUUCCUGGAGUGACUUGGGGAGGGACGAGCGUAACGGCAAGAUGCGGGAUAUGGGGCGAAGUAUUAGCCCAUCAGCCAUCUAUGAACGAACACAUUUUUUACCGUGAAAACUAAAAAAGUCUAUAUUACCCAUAUGAAAUCAACGGUGAGAUUAGAAAUAUACUGUUGCCUCAGUAUAGGGUACCGUAAAAAAGCUCUUAACAAAUGACCUUGUUGUUAAUGACGCCCGGUAAGUUGAGCAGCAGUCUGAAGAUUAACCUCAGCUUCGGUUGUCCUAUGGAACCUGUUAGCUCGUUAUCUAGCCGAAAGAGGGUCGGGCAAUCCGACAACGUGUAACUGAAGUUGCGAAAUGCAGUGCAUGGUUCCGUUUCCAGUUCACGAGCUACGUCGCAAACUGCGAUCAGGGAAAAAUGAACAACAGAUGCAGCAAUGGCAUGCACCAUAAGAGAAAAAGAACGGGACGGAAAGCUUCAAGAUUCCAAACAAAACGAGAAGGAGACCAAACAAGACUGCCAUCACGGUAAGGAUGAGGAAGAACAAGUCUGAGUUUUCAAAGGCUGCAUAGGUUUCAGUGGUACCUGAUAUGGAAAUGCAAUGCGGCCGAGAAGCCUAAUCUUCUUCAGAUGAAAUCCGGCCUGCCUGCCUGCCCUGCCUCCCAGAAGACGAGAAGAUCUUGGCUGACCUCCCAGAAGACGAAAUGCUAGGCUCCAAAACCCAGCGAGCAAGCAGGUCGAGGGCCCUUAAAAGCGGCUGUUAUUUGCGAGUUAAGCUUCGUCAGGCCCCCACACAGCUAGCUCCCUUCCCUCUGCAAGACCGCACACAAUACAUACAUACCUUUCCCUCCUCCUCUCCCCUUUGCUUCUAAGGAGGAUCUGCUAAUCUUUUUUUAUGAUGCGCUUUUUAAUCGGUCGGUCAUGGCCUCGGCCUCAUGGGGCACACUGCCGUGCCUCCUUUAGUUUACAGAUUGGAACAGUGGAUCGGCUUUCCCCAAAGACACAUCACAUAUCUUCUCCCCUCUCCUUCAUCAGCACUGAUUAAUCAUUGGUUAUGUCGUUAGCCUGCGUCUGUGAGUGAAUGUAUCACGUUGGCAUUUUGGCCAUGUGCCGAUGCAUGUGCACUAUAUGGCAUAUGGGUGCAAAGGCGACUGGUAUCUGACCGCACAGACACGGUAUAAAGCGGCGGAAUCUUAGUAGAGCUGGACGCCUUUGUACUGGCCGGCUGGCUAUCUAGCUGGUGAAGAAGGUUCGUCCUCGUAGUGGUAGUAGAUCGCUGUACUACAUGGAGAGAGACUGGAAACGUGCUCCACUGCGUGCUAUCAAUUCACGGCGGCGUCACUGUUCGGUGGCUAUUAACUAACCACGGCAGUGUUACUGCUGAGUGGCUUUUAGUUGAGCAUAGAGGAGCAGUGGAUACCAAAAGAAAGAAGCCAAAUGUAGCUCCAGGACCAUGCACUACCGCAUUAAUUAGCACUUGGCGUUUACACAUCUCAUGAAGUACUACUGCUAGCUAGCGAGUAGUCUAGUGGUUAAGUAUAGCAGUAGCCUCAAAGUAAAGUUUGAUGUACUCUUACGUACUGUACUAGCCAGUUGCUGCUUACCACACUCAAAAUGGUAGUGCAAUUUGCACUGUGUAAGUACCUGAGUUCACAGAGAAAAUCAGGAAGGAACAUGUAAGUCUCAUGUAGGAGCACCAGCACUGAUGAGCGAGCGGUUAGAGAACCAAGGCACAAAUUAAGAGCUCACAGGUUCGUUGUUAACCCGCUACAGAAAAGAAAAGAAAAAAGAGCUCACAGGUUUGCAUUACCAAAGCAUCGAGGGAAAGCAGAGGGAAGGCAUGAGUAUCUCUCAAGAGCACAUGACUUAGCACUGACUACUGCCAAAAGAAUAGGAGCUCAACUGGGCUAAACCCCGGGGCAUGGCAGGCAUUAUUGUCUAUCAUGCCUAUGCCUUUGCACCAACGCAGCGUCACUGGGACGAUUGCUCCCCAGCUUUCAGAUAAGGAGCGAGCGAGCAUCUCACGGCGUGCAAUGCAGACAGCUCGGCAAGCGUGCGCCAAGAGCUCGUCUCGACCGCCUAAUCUUCCGCUUACGCCUCCGUUUACAAUUUCGAAUGGUCCCAAAAAUCGUCUGAAUUGAGCCAAAAUUGUCUUUAUCAUUCUUGUUCUCAGUGGCCGGCUGUCCUUGCUUGCGCUUGUCAUGUUCCAUGCUUGGUACGUACAGAGGAUCUGGGCAUAGAAUGGUGCAUUUGGAUGUAACAUCAGAGUGAGGUUUCAGUUUCACAAGCUUGGAAUUCGGUGCUGCAGUCUGUUCUGAUCGGUUGAUUCAGUUCCUGGAAAGAGAGUCUCCGUUCUUUAGGCUUCGGCAUAGCUUUGCUUGGAUCGGGGAAUGAAACACUCGGAGGAUGCUAAGAUGCAGUUGCUUCAAAUAAGGCUCAGGGAAAAAAGCAGCAUUUUGGCUUGUUUUAGAAUCUAUUCUCGCUUGAGGCUUGAGAAUUUGUCAAACUGGGAUCCCACUUUCCUCUUUUAAAGCUCUCAUGAACAGAUGGAGCAAUGCAAACCCUUGCCUUCCAUGAGACAGAUGCUUCUUGUUGGACCAAGAAAACAAAAUAAGCACAUCCUUGUCGCUCUGUAAUAAGCUUACUAGAAAUAUAUUUCCUACUAUUAGUUUCGAGCGUAAGAUAUACACCAUGGAUAUCAUCCACAUAUGCAGCAAGACGACGUUACUGACAUUGGAAUCAUCAGUCAGCAAGGAUAUGGAUGGGCACAUAAGUAUGAUACAAAAAAUAAGAAAAAGGAAAGGAAACAUAACGGUUUCGAAAAUAAACGUGAUUUGACUUCAGUCGCAGCACAAUGCCAUUUAUUUAGAAGAAUGAUUCAAAGAAAUGCUGUGUCAUCAGAGGACAAAAGGGGAUAGGCGCAUGAGUGUUUCCCAAAGGUAAAUUCAGAUAUACGCCCCUCUGAAAUGUCCGUUUCCGAUUGCGAUAAUUGUACCGCUGCGAACCCAUGGUUUGGAAAAAUGUCACCGCAAACUCAACAGCUUCUGAACAACCUCUUGUCACUGUAUCCAUAGGGCCGCGAAUACUGUUGAAUGAAACAACACCAUCGGUUCUCGCUCCAAGUCGCACAAUGCGUCACCAUUAGCAGCUAAGGUGUCAGCAAAGGGCGUUUUUUGUGAUUGCUGAGUCUUAACACCGGUGCUCAACCACAAUUAUUGUCCAUCACAAAGCUUGUCAGCUAGGCUGUUUGCAGUAAUAGGCCUAUCACUGAAAGUAGGUGUCACCUAAUGGGCAUAAUUUGGUCACUCAAGCCCCAAAGUGACAUAGUUGAAGGCUGCCAGUGGAGAGGUAAUUGAAGCUCACUGCCUAUAGUGGAUAAAAAAAGAGGAUGCAUGCAUGAGUAGUUUCUCAUACAAAGGUCCAUAGUGGUGGAUACAAUGUGCAUGUGGACUUUAUUAACUAGAACUCUGAGAUGUGAUUAUACCUUGAAGCAGAAGGAAGAUGCAUGUCAUGACUCAUGAAGUCAUGAUAGUAAUCAAGGUUGUUGCUAGUGUUGCUUGGUGAUUAGGUCUCAUGUCACCCUAGCUUAUCCAAGUUGCUGAUGACAUAUCGAUUCUUUUCUCCGCGUGUGAAUCGACAUUGGUAGUAUUUUUUAAAUAAGAUUAUGAACAGGCUGUGCCCUGGCAGGUAAUGUGCAUGUUUGGUUCUGCUUGCUUUUGAUCUAGAGCACGCAUUCUUAAUAUAACAGAACAUGCCUUUGGUAACCAAGUUCAUUCCAAGAAGAUGUUUGUGGUCAAAUUUACUUUUGACAAAUAUUUGUUCCGGAAGACAAAACAGUGACAUGUAUCAUAUAAUAGAUCAUAUGAUAUUAUGACAUCUCUUUGUGUCAGUGGGACAGAUGAACAAAGCUUGAAAGGAAGAGACCGGUAUAAGGGGAACCAUCAGUCAAUCACCAUUAGUUUGUUCUGCUUGUCUGAACUUAAGUUGAAAGCAAUCCCGGAAAUCCCAACAACCAGCUCUACAAAAUUGAUACAUUACAUCAAUAGAUAAGCUAAUAUUAUAUGUCAGCAUUAUAUCAUAUAUUUUACUAAAGAAGAACCAUGCUAUAUUCCUUCUUCUCCGAUGUCGGCAAAAUGAUAUUGUCUGGUUUUGAAAGUGUUUUGGCAGGUGUAAAUUUGAUUUGACAAACUAAGUUUUGUUGCCUUUUUUUGCAGCUGCAUACCCACAUCAACUAAAUUGCAGCUUAAUUCUACUAUCAUCAAGUCAAAUAUGCUAUACAAUUGAACACACGCUUGCAGGAAGUUGCGAAGACAGUACAGAUAGGUAGCAUCCUUCGUUUGCUGAUUAACACAUGAUCCUUAGUUUCUAAGGCAAAUCAAGAAUAAAGAAAUCAGCAUGUGCGCAAUAGGGUGUCACAGGAUACACAAAAGGGUAUGGUAUUGGUAGGUGAAUGUGCAAAAUGUAAUCAGGACAUGUUUGUAUACUCGCCUAUUAUAUUCAGAAAGCG